GACGAACGCUGGCGGCGUGCUUAACACAUGCAAGUCGAACGGAAAGGCCCUGCUUUUGUGGGGUGCUCGAGUGGCGAACGGGUGAGUAACACGGGAGUAACCUGCCCUUGACUUUGGGAUAACUUCAGGAAACUGGGGCUAAUACCGGAUAGGAGCUCCUGCUGCAUUGUUGGGGUUGGAAAGUUUCGGCGGUUGGGGAUGGACUGGCGGCUUAUCAGCUUGUUGGUGGGGUAGUGGCUUACCAAGGCUUUGACGGGUAGCCGGCCUGAGAGGGUGACCGGCCACAUUAGGACUGAGAUACGGCCCAGACUCCUACGGGAGGCAGCAGUGGGGAAUAUUGCACAAUGGGCGGAAGCCUGAUGCAGCAACGCCGCGUGCGGGAUGACGGCCUUCGGGUUGUAAACCGCUUUCGCCUGUGACGAAGCGUGAGUGACGGUAAUGGGUAAAGAAGCACCGGCUAACUACGUG
RNAcentral lists this ribosomal RNA (468 nucleotides) under uncultured bacterium. RNAcentral describes it as "partial 16S ribosomal RNA". It matches the Rfam family "Bacterial small subunit ribosomal RNA", at positions 28 to 507 of the family's 1533-position model. The record is from RNAcentral.